This is a long non-coding RNA of Xiphophorus couchianus (Monterrey platyfish), 332 nucleotides long. RefSeq lists it as uncharacterized. The transcript has 2 exons. NCBI's taxonomy places the organism in Eukaryota, Metazoa, Chordata, Actinopteri, Cyprinodontiformes, Poeciliidae. The record is from RefSeq and is a predicted model, not a curated record.
GCCUCUCUCACGCCGAGCCGCAGAUGGAGCCGCCGCCGCCCUUCCCGUCCGCGGAGGUUCGGCUCGCGGAGCAAGCGGAGGACCAUGCCGCUCAGAGUUUUACAAGCUGUGUGCAUGGAAGCAGGUCGGCAGCGCUACAGCUUGCUGGGAACGGAUGAGAUGUAAAAUCACAAACAGCUGAAGAAACAAAUAUCACAAGUGGAGUUCAGUCAAAGACUUCGAUUCCAGCCGUUUGAAUCAGCCAUGAUCGAGAUCCAGUUCAAGUAUCUCUGUUAAUCUACAAGGAGUGAUGUGUUUUAUCCCUUAAUAAACCCCCCGAAACAUGCAAGACA